RNAcentral lists this ribosomal RNA (347 nucleotides) under uncultured bacterium. RNAcentral describes it as "partial 16S ribosomal RNA". It matches the Rfam family "Bacterial small subunit ribosomal RNA", at positions 338 to 696 of the family's 1533-position model. The record is from RNAcentral.
CCUACGGGAGGCAGCAGUCGAGAAUAUUUCACAAUGGGGGAAACCCUGAUGGUGCGACGCCGCGUGGGGGAAUGAAGGCCUUCGGAUUGUAAACUCUUUUCAUGUGGGAGCAAAUUAAAAAGAUAGUAUCAUAAGAGGAAGAGACGGCCAACUCUGGGCCAGCAGCCGCGGUAAUACAGAGGUCUCAAGCGUUGUUCGGAAUCACUGGGCGUAAAGGGGGCGGAGGCUGGUUCGUAAGUCGGGUGUGAAAGGCGCGGGCUCAACCCGCGUACGGCACAUGAUACUGGGAGACUUGAGUAAGGGAGGGGGAACCGGAAUUCUUGGUGUAGCGGUGAAAUGCGUAGAUA